Molecule: microRNA precursor, 161 nt
Filed under: Leersia perrieri
Lineage: Eukaryota; Viridiplantae; Streptophyta; Magnoliopsida; Poales; Poaceae
Description: pre miRNA MIR2118
Source: RNAcentral
AGUGGCAGGGCAAAGGAAGCAUGAGCUUUGGGAGUUGUAGGAAUGGAUGCAUAGAGAAAAAUGAAAAUUUAAGCUAGCUUGCUUAUAAGUUGAUUAGUUACUUUUCCUAUGACGUCCAUUCCAAUGAUUUCCAGUUGCUUCUUUCCUUUGCCCAGACUGCU